RNAcentral lists this ribosomal RNA (456 nucleotides) under uncultured bacterium. RNAcentral's name for it is "bacterial SSU rRNA". It matches the Rfam family "Bacterial small subunit ribosomal RNA", at positions 56 to 524 of the family's 1533-position model. The record is from RNAcentral.
UGCAAGUCGAACGAUGAAGCCUGGCUUGCUGGGUGGAUUAGUGGCGAACGGGUGAGUAACACGUGAGCAACCUGCCCCUGACUCUGGGAUAAGCGCUGGAAACGGCGUCUAAUACUGGAUAUGUCCCAUCACCGCAUGGUGUGUGGGUGGAAAGAUUUUUCGGUUGGGGAUGGGCUCGCGGCCUAUCAGCUUGUUGGUGAGGUAAUGGCUCACCAAGGCGUCGACGGGUAGCCGGCCCGAGAGGGUGACCGGCCACACUGGGACUGAGACACGGCCCAGACUCCUACGGGAGGCAGCAGUGGGGAAUAUUGCACAAUGGGCGGAAGCCUGAUGCAGCAACGCCGCGUGAGGGAUGACGGCCUUCGGGUUGUAAACCUCUUUUAGCAGGGAAGAAGCGAGAGUGACGGUACCUGCAGAAAAAGCACCGGCUAACUACGUGCCAGCAGCCGCGGUAAU